Molecule: ribosomal RNA, 497 nt
Filed under: uncultured bacterium
Lineage: Bacteria
Description: partial 16S ribosomal RNA
Rfam family: Bacterial small subunit ribosomal RNA
Source: RNAcentral
GAUGAACGCUGGCGGCGUGCCUAAUACAUGCAAGUCGAGCGAACAGACGAGGAGCUUGCUCCUCUGACGUUAGCGGCGGACGGGUGAGUAACACGUGGAUAACCUACCUAUAAGACUGGGAUAACUUCGGGAAACCGGAUCUAAUACCGGAUAAUAUAUUGAACCGCAUGGUUCAAUAGUGAAAGACGGUUUUGCUGUCACUUAUAGAUGGAUCCGCGCCGCAUUAGCUAGUUGGUAAGGUAACGGCUUACCAAGGCAACGAUGCGUGGCCGACCUGAGAGGGUGAUCGGCCACACUGGAACUGAGACACGGUCCAGACUCCUACGGGAGGCAGCAGUAGGGAAUCUUCCGCAAUGGGCGAAAGCCUGACGGAGCAACGCCGCGUGAGUGAUGAAGGCCUUCGGAUCGUAAAACUCUGUUAUUAGGGAAGAACAAAUGUGUAAGUAACUAUGCACGUCUUGACGGUACCUAAUCAGAAAGCCACGGCUAACUACGUG